Molecule: ribosomal RNA, 111 nt
Filed under: Chrysemys picta bellii (western painted turtle)
Lineage: Eukaryota; Metazoa; Chordata; Testudines; Emydidae
Source: RNAcentral
UGCAGUUACACCAGCUUGGGCUAGGACCCAGUCAGCUCACUGGUAAGCAGGGUCAGGUUGGGUCAGUACUUGGAUGGGGAACCACUGUGGAUUACCUAGGCACUGCAGGAU